RNAcentral lists this transfer RNA (76 nucleotides) under Anaerolinea sp. RNAcentral's name for it is "tRNA-Gly". It matches the Rfam family "tRNA". Rfam says of the family: Transfer RNA (tRNA) molecules are approximately 80 nucleotides in length. Their secondary structure includes four short double-helical elements and three loops (D, anti-codon, and T loops). RNAcentral also lists the same sequence under 8 other names. Lineage: Bacteria; Bacillati; Chloroflexota; Anaerolineae; Anaerolineales; Anaerolineaceae. The record is from RNAcentral.
GCGGGAGUAACUCAGUUGGCAGAGUGUCUGCUUCCCAAGCAGAAUGUCGCGGGUUCGAAUCCCGUCUCCCGCUCCA